Molecule: ribosomal RNA, 329 nt
Filed under: uncultured eukaryote
Lineage: Eukaryota
Description: partial 18S ribosomal RNA
Rfam family: Eukaryotic small subunit ribosomal RNA
Source: RNAcentral
UCCCUUAGAUGUUCUGGGCCGCACGCGCGCUACACUGAUGAAUUCAACGAGCUCCUAACCUAGGCCGAAGGGUCCGGGUAAUCUUUGAAAUUUCAUCGUGAUGGGGAUAGAUUAUUGCAAUUAUUAAUCUUCAACGAGGAAUUCCUAGUAAGCGCGAGUCAUCAGCUCGCGUUGAUUACGUCCCUGCCCUUUGUACACACCGCCCGUCGCUGCCCGGGACUGAGCCGUUUCGAGAAAAGCGGGGACUGCUGCUGUCGGGGCUUUCGGGCCUUGGCUUCGGUGGAAACCGCUUUAAUCGCAGUGGCUUGAACCGGGCAAAAGUCGUANCA